AUAGUAAGCUUUUCAGGAAAACCCUCUUUCCCUCUGACAAAUAAUUUUCCAUUGAGGGUGAGUGCUAUUAAAUUGGAAGCUAUGGGAAUAAAAUACAGCCUCCCCUUUGCCUUAGGAACUCAUUAGCAGCAGUUCAACAGGACUGUUCAGGAAUAAUAAAAUCAGAAACUCAAGUGACAUUUGAUGUUCUGCCGGUCUUUGCACAGCAAUGCAUACUAUAGCGAUAGGAUAACAUACGUCAUGAUGCCACUUGGCUGAAGCAGAGCUUUAUUAGCUUUAUUGUAUGUUGUUGUAGCAUGGUGCAGAUACUAUAUUUCAUCAGCAGUGUUGACUAUCCUCAGAGGUGGUUCUUGAUAUAGAUGAGCCCCAACCGAUCAGACUCAGAUUCGUUAUUGUUACAUCUCAGUAUAUAGUAUACAGGUAAGAGAAAAUGUAAUAAGUCAUAGUUGUGGAGCUGUGCAGUAUUAUUUUUCAGUGCUAGAAGUUGAAUCAAUUAUAGGUGUAUAACUAAGCAUACGAGUCUGAGCGCCUGGGUAUGUGAGGUCCAGAGAUCUAGACUAGUGUGUGUAUAAUAGUGUAUAAUAAAGUAUAUAAUGGGGGGCACUGUGGCGCGAGCCAAUAAGCCCCCCAUUUACGGGCUACAAUGCCCGCGGGGACACGGGUUCGAUUCCGGCCUAUCGUUUCCCCACCUCUUCACUCCUCCUCUCUUCCUGUCCAAAGUAUUUCACUGUCCUAUCCAAAUAAGGGCAAAAAAUACUUCACUGUCCUAUCCAAAUAAGGGCUAAAAAUACUUUACUGUCCUAUCCAAAUAAAGGCUAAAAAUACUUCACUGUCCUAAUAAAGGCUAAAAAGCCAAUAAAUAAAUCUUAUAAAAAAUAAAGUGUAUAAUAAAGGUUCACAGAUGUUGUGGUCAGGAUUCCAGUGGGGGCACACAGAUAUGACUCCAUGAUGCUGGGCAUCUACUCUUCAGCAGACUGCCCUGCAGAUCCUAGGUCACAUCACGUUACUUGUACAUUACGUGUAGCUUACUGUACUGGAGGACUGUUAUUCAGGAAGUGAAACCAGCAGGUUAUAUUUUGGAAAGUGGCUACAGCAGGAACACAACAUACAUUUUCAUUAGACUGUUAAGGUUUUGCUGACAACAAUGUGGUGUACAUGUAUGGG
This is a long non-coding RNA of Clupea harengus (Atlantic herring), 1164 nucleotides long. Lineage: Eukaryota; Metazoa; Chordata; Actinopteri; Clupeiformes; Clupeidae. The record is from Ensembl.